RNAcentral lists this long non-coding RNA (1345 nucleotides) under Helianthus annuus (common sunflower). Its description in RNAcentral is "hypothetical non coding rna". Lineage: Eukaryota; Viridiplantae; Streptophyta; Magnoliopsida; Asterales; Asteraceae. The record is from RNAcentral.
GUCAGUAUGUAUGUGUCGUGGGUUUGAAAGAGGAUUUAGGGUUCUCACCUAAAUCCAUCAUCAACACAAGAAUUCUGCAUAAAUUGGGGUGAUUUGAGCUGGAAAUCGAGUGCAUGAGACAUCAUCUACACUUGUCUAGGUGUCCUUGAGAUAAGGUGAAAAUGAUGAGUGUGAUGAUCUUGAUAAGAAUUUGGAACGUGUCAAGGAGAGCUCAAGCAUAGGAGGAUAACGGGUCAAAAUAAGGCAAAGUGACAAAUACACUUAUUGGAGUACUCAAGGUAAGUGAUUUCCGGAAUCACUUCUUAUCUUAUAAAUAAAGUUUUGAUAUGUUAAACGUAGGAAAUCAUGUGAGAAAUUAUGAGAAGGAGUAAGUACUAAGGUAUGUAUUAAUGAGGUAAGUCGUAAGAAGUUAUUUGUGCUUGGAAUUACAUGAUAGAAGUGAACGGGUCAAUAAUAAAGAAAGAAACAUGGCGUAAUGUGGUAGUUAGUUUGAUCAUGUGGUUAUACAUUAGAAAGAUUUAGGAGUUUGUAUAUGAUUAUUUUACAUAUUGGAAGCGUUUAUGAAGUGCAAGUAAUAAUGGAAUGUGUUAGCGAGUAUGUGGAGGAAUGAAUUAAGUAUGUGGGUAUAUAUGUAUAGAAUUAAUUUCAUACCAAUAGCCGGGACUUAUAAUAAUCAUGAAUAGAAGUGAGUAUGCACGUAGGUUUGUAUGUAUGUGACCUAUUUAUAUGGAAGUUGUAAUUAGGAUACAUUAGCAAAUCAUUUGGAAUGAUGUAAGUGGUAUGUAAGAGCUUGUACGUUUGUAUGUGUGUUCGUAAUCAUGUGUGGAAGUAUGUGUCCAUGAAUAUCUGUAUGUAUGUACAUGUGCACGAAGUAGAAUUUAUUGUACACAAAUGAAUGGGACUUUUUUUUAUAUGUUUAUAUAGCUUCAAUACUUUUGAGUGUAAAGUUUCUAAACUGGUGUCUUGAGUUGAGGAUUCGAAAAGAUUAGCAUGAGAUGAAGGAAUACAGAGUCAUUAUUUAUUUACGUAUGUUUAGUUUAUGAACAACGUCACCAAAUUUUAACGAUGCGUAUGUAUGUGGUGAUUAUAGGUCGCACGGACUUAACAUCAUUAUGAAGUAAAUGAGGAUUGAAGAUCGGGUCAAAGAGCGAGGAUUGUACGGGAAGGGUAGUCACAUAACUGGUGAUUUUAUAUUACAUUUGAUGCGAUAAUCAAGAAUGAACGUUGUAAAUCUUUUGAAGAAAGUGUUUGUUAUUUUUAAACGAACCUUCAAGUAAGUCAUAUGAGUAAUUAUGAAAGAAAUUUUAAGUCUCUACUUUCCGCUGUGUCUAUAUGGUUAAAUCGU